GGAGAGGUGGCUGAGUGGUCGAAAGCGCAUUCCUGCUAAGAAUGUAAGCCUUUACGGGCUUCGAGGGUUCGAAUCCCUCUCUCUCCGCAA
Molecule: transfer RNA, 90 nt
Filed under: Candidatus Yonathbacteria bacterium
Lineage: Bacteria; Candidatus Yonathiibacteriota
Description: tRNA-Ser
Rfam family: tRNA
About the family: Transfer RNA (tRNA) molecules are approximately 80 nucleotides in length.
Source: RNAcentral